UCGCCUGCAUGAAGCUGGAAUUGCUAGUAAUCGCGGAUCAGCAAGCCGCGGUGAAUACGUUCCCGGGCCUUGUACACACCGCCCGUCACACCAUGAGAGUCGGGAACACCCGAAGUCCGUAGUCUAACCGCAAGGGGGGCGCGGCCGAAGGUGGGUCCGGUAAUUGGGGUGAAGUCGUAACAAGGUAAC
This 189-nucleotide ribosomal RNA is filed under the name uncultured bacterium. Its description in RNAcentral is "partial 16S ribosomal RNA". It matches the Rfam family "Bacterial small subunit ribosomal RNA", at positions 1312 to 1500 of the family's 1533-position model. The record is from RNAcentral.